RNAcentral lists this ribosomal RNA (449 nucleotides) under uncultured bacterium. RNAcentral describes it as "bacterial SSU rRNA". It matches the Rfam family "Bacterial small subunit ribosomal RNA", at positions 329 to 792 of the family's 1533-position model. The record is from RNAcentral.
AGCCAGACUCCUACUGGAGGCAGCAGUGGGGAAUAUUGGGCAAUGGGCGCAAGCCUGACCCAGCGACGCCGCGUGAAGGAAGAAGGCCUUCGGGUUGUAAACUUCUUUUCUCAGGGACGAAGAAAGUGACGGUACCUGAGGAAUAAGCCACGGCUAACUACGUGCCAGCAGCCGCGGUAAUACGUAGGUGGCAAGCGUUAUCCGGAUUUACUGGGUGUAAAGGGCGUGUAGGCGGGAAAGCAAGUCAGACGUGAAAACCACGGGCUCAACCUGUGGCCUGCAUUUGAAACUGUUUUUCUUGAGUACUGGAGAGGCAGACGGAAUUCCUAGUGUAGCGGUGAAAUGCGUAGAUAUUAGGAGGAACACCAGUGGCGAAGGCGGCCUGCUGGGCUUUUACUGACGCUGAGGCUCGAAAGUGUGGGGAGCAAACAGGAUUAGAUACCCGCGUA